This 2905-nucleotide ribosomal RNA is filed under the name Triticum aestivum (bread wheat). RNAcentral describes it as "partial small subunit ribosomal RNA". Lineage: Eukaryota; Viridiplantae; Streptophyta; Magnoliopsida; Poales; Poaceae. The record is from RNAcentral.
CGCUCUCUCUUUUUUUGCAUGGGCGUGUUGGGUGUUGGGUUGGAGGGUUAGGGUAGAGGUGGAGGUCGCGAGGAGGUGGGGGCGGCGGCGGCGGCCGGGGACGGCGCGCGGCGGCUGGGGGAGGAACGCCGGAUAAGGCGGCCCCGCGAUGGGGAUGGGGUUCACGGGGUGGGGCACCGGAAGGUGGCGGCUGCUGUGUGCUGCGGCGCGGCAACGGCCGAAGGGGAGGGGACGAUGGUGCCACGAGGCCCUGAGGAGGGGCAACGAAGCUGGAGCCGCAACCAAGGGGGUUUGGGCGGCCAAAGCGGUGGCCGGUGUUGAAGGGCCGCGUGAGGUGGUUGGCUGCCUGGUCAAGCGGGCGGAGGGUACCGAUUGUAGCGACGAUGGGGUCACAGCGAAGGGUGGGGUCCCCGAGUAGAGGAGGUGGACGCGCGGUGAGGGGCUGGAAGGGAAAAGCGCGGCAUACGAGGGAGGGCGAAGUGACGGACCGUACACGGUCCAGGUUAGACCUGCUCGUCCUGUUGCAUCGGUCGGUAUACGCGGGGAGGUUAGACUUGCCGAACGAGAUGUACUACGGCGAACGAACGACACACACCCCAUAUAAAAACAACAUGAGAAUUAAACGACAACUACAGUAUACGAUGUCUAAGUGUAAAAAAUACUCUAUGAACCUUAUGCACUCUCAUGACUAUAUCAUCUUUGUUUCGUACAUGUCAAUCGUUGUGUCUUCGGGGUCUUACAAAUUCCCCUCAACUUACAGUUUUUGGUGUUGGGACGAUGAGACUAUCAAAAGUCCGAGUGUAAAAUACCCUUUAAUAAGUCAAACAGUGAGACAAUACCCUAUAUUACAGAUUGUAUAGUAUUACAAAACCACCUUUGCCACCAUCAAAGACUGGAGAAAGUCUCAAAUUUGAUAAAAGGACUACUGACUUACUUCAACUUUGAAACUGUUGCCUACAUCGUCCCAAUCGUCUUUUGUACUACGUGCUAACUUAAUUUGUACGUCCCAAGUUAUGCGUAGAGACUAAUAAGAAUACAAAUAAUAAAAAUUAUUAGAUGGUGAAGACCGUAGGACAGCCACUCAGAAGAAAACCAGACGUUUGGUAUCAGUAACAUCGGAACGAGGUCAAACGGUUACAUAUCGACUUAUACUCGGUAGAUGAACGACCUUCACCAGUGUAUACCCCAUUGAAAAUCACCGUCCCACUUCAUUACCAUGACCGUAAACAUAAUGACUUUCAUGUCAUAUAUGAAACACAAUAAAACGUACGAGAGAUACACAAGAGCAGAACCGUCCCCUACGAACCACUAUUGAGGAAUUUACGAGACUCAUUAUUAACUCUUAUGUAUCUGUUACAGUUUAACUUCACACUAUAAACAUACAGUAUAAAUGAGGUGUUAUUGAAAAAUACACAAAAAGAGUAAGAAAAAUGUAUCUGCAUUACUAAAGAAAUACGGCGUUACAAUGAAUACGGUAAACCUAAACCUGUUGUACGGCGUCACAAUGAAGCUAGAGACCUACCAACCACCGGUGGAAUUAAUCUUAGCAAUCCCCAUUACAUCAACGUUACGUCAUAGAUACGCACCCGAUGGCCUACCUCAACGUUGUCGACAACAGUUUUCGGCCUACAAAACCUCUACGGUACAAAUUAAUUAAUUAAUUAGUAGAAAACACCACGGUAAUCAAGACUAGGACCCGAUCCUCCUAAAUUAUAAGAAUUAGUACAAAAGUACGUUUAACUGGGUCAAGCAGGCAACUAACUAAUGACCUGAGGCUCAACGUAACGAAUAAAACCAUUCACUCUUGCAUACUGACAUUAAGACGUAUGUAGUAGUACGAUAAAGGAGGAUUAAAUAUAUACUUCUAAUUCACAGGAAAAAAUGGAUUUUAAAUGAACUUAUAAAUUGACUCUUAAUGAAGUAACACACAGUACGGAUAGAAUAAGGUAGGUGUACUAGAUACCUGGUGUCUAUAUCAAGAGUUAGGUUCCUCUCAGGCUUUUGAUUAUUAAACACGGAACUUAUUGCUUACAUGAAAAAAACAAGAUUAGAACUUUGGAACCGAUUACAUUAUUAUAACCACAGUGCCACCAGAAGUAUCGACAUCACUCAUGUUAGAUUGUCUUCGUUUUCAGAGAUAACUAACAACAUCCUCUAGGUCUUUCGCCUCGUAACCCCGUGAGACUAAAAAUUCUUCGAGGUACGUGCAUAAUUCCGGUCAUUUAAGUUAAACAAAAAGUAGACGAAGAGAUACCAGACAACAGGAAUAAGCUACACAAUAAGUCCAUACACAACAAUUGCGAGGAUUAAAACCCUCUUAGUCUUUUUUUUUCAAAACGUUCAAUACAGUAUAAAGGUACAAAAUCAUACUCUAAAUCUAUAUAACAAAGAGGCCAAGGUAUAAGUAAUAUACAAAAAGAGGAUAUUAACCGGAUGAACAAAUGUGUUCAGACUUAAGGAUUUCCAAGUCCUCAUAAAGUUACAACGAUUUCUUUCUAUGUUCCUAGUCACGGCAUUGUAACAACUUUCUGUUAGUCUGUGUCUGUGGUACGUCGUCGUGACGUGGGACGUCAAGUACGAGACGAGUGGUACUGGACGGAGGAGUAGUAGUCUGUAUGAGUACACAUGAUCCUAGAGGAGUGGUAGCUUCAAGUACACAGGAGAUCUAGUUCGGAUACGUACACUCGACUUCUUAACAAACGGACAAGUGUUAACCACUAACUUCCCACCGGCCACUGAAGGUAUUAAAAGAACAUCAACAAACAACCUAUUAGAAAUUUUAAUCCUAACAUCUCUUGAAAUGUAAUGACAUUUUGAAGUAGAAGAACCACAACGACGAAUGUAUAAGGUAAUACGAUUGAGUCGUUGUGAAAAUCGUCUUUAACCAACAAAUACGUCUGUGCGC